RNAcentral lists this long non-coding RNA (1283 nucleotides) under Pavo cristatus (Indian peafowl). RNAcentral's name for it is "lncRNA (ENSPSTG00000011910.1)". Lineage: Eukaryota; Metazoa; Chordata; Aves; Galliformes; Phasianidae. The record is from RNAcentral.
GAUGUGAUGCGGUGAGGCUUGAACAUUUGUUGUCGAAUUCCAGGUGGCGGUUGUAGAUAGCUACUGCUUUGACUUCAGCAUCACUGAUCACAGUACAGGCAGGAGAAAAGCAGUAGCAACAGUAAUGUCCCUGGAGUAAACUGCAGAAUACCUAGCUCCCUGUUGUGUUUUGUGGAAUGUCGUAAAUCAAAGAGAGCAUACUCCCAAAGAAGCUGUGUGGAUUCUCCAGAGAAUGGGUGUUACGGGUUCAGAAAACAAGGAAAUGUCACUGCAGUAACCUGUCUGCAGGAGUGAGUUCAAGCCCCAUCUUCCUUCCAUCAUUCAAAGGUUAUGAGCACAUUUUGCAGAGAGCCUUUUAACUGCAAAAUCCCAAAGGGAUGUGCAGCUAUGGAAUGCUGUAAUGUACCUGGCAGAAAAAAGAAACUGGAAGAGUUCCAGACUGACUUGUGCAUCAGACAUGGGAAGAGUAUGGAUGCCAUCGAGCUCUGUGGAAAGCUUGUCUCCAGUUGUAAAGCAUUUGUACAGCUGCAGGACAGAUACACAUAUGGAUUAUCACUUAAAAGAUGAAAAAAACAUGUUUUCUAUCAUAGAUGGAGUUUUAUUAUACUUAUUAUUAGCUUCUUGACAGUAUUUAUCAUUUCUAGGCAUUUUUACAACUAGACUGUUUGCUAACAUAUACGAUUUAGAGAGCUGCUUCCUAUAUACUAUUGCAGGCUGAAUUCCAGUGCAACUUCAUUCAUUUCAACUGUUGUGCUGUAAAAUUUCUGAGACUGAUGGUAUGUGAUAUAACCAGAGAGCAAUUCCUUAAAAGCAGUACACAAACAACCAGAUGACCUAUACAGUUUAUCCAAUCUUUGUGGGUUUUUUUUAAUUGAGAAAUUGAAGUUACUGGGUCAGUUUAAUCCUAAAAAUUUUAUCUAGGUUGAGUGCAACACUCAAAUGUUGGCUGCUGUAAGCUCCUGCUUUGCUAGAGAUCAGCCCAGUGGAUGGUGCCUGAUGGGGAAAAAUGAGUUGGAAGCUAUUGAUGCUGCCUGUUGUACAGAAUUUCCUGAAAUAAGUGACUUAAGCUCUUUGGACCUUGAUUGAGUUUCCACAAGUAAGUAAUGAUAGGUGUAUCUAUUUCUAAUCUUCUAGGCACAAAUUUACUGUUCAACUGACUGUUGCUGGGGGCAGGCAAACAGCAGUGGUAGAAACAGGGUGAGAAAGAGUUGGGAGGUUGUUCUGAAGGAGGCAUUCAGUGAUGGUCGCUACAGAGGGGCAGACCAUACCCGCUCUUUGCUGCU